CAGGGGCCUAAAUGAUUGAGGAGUGAAAUUAGAUCAUGGCCUUUCAUGUUUGAAGGGAUAUAGUAUUACGAUAACUCUCAAAAAUCAAUAUUGUAUAAUGACAGAAGUUAAUAAUCUAAAUCAGCAGGAGCAAGCUUUGGAUGAGUGUAUAUACUAGCGAGAUGUGCGGAAAGCUAAGCGGGUUAAUGGAAGAUGAGAAUGGUCGAAGGUAAUCAGAAUUCUCCGGUUAGUUAUAAGAUGCUCUUUGGGUGUG
This is a long non-coding RNA of Triticum dicoccoides, 253 nucleotides long. RefSeq lists it as uncharacterized. The transcript has 3 exons. The record is from RefSeq and is a predicted model, not a curated record. Lineage: Eukaryota; Viridiplantae; Streptophyta; Magnoliopsida; Poales; Poaceae.